GAGUGGCGGACGGGUGAGUAACACGUGGGUAACCUGCCCUUAAGUGGGGGAUAACAUUUGGAAACAGAUGCUAAUACCGCAUAGAUCCAAGAACCGCAKGGUUCUUGGCUGAAAGAUGGCGUAAGCUAUCGCUUUUGGAUGGACCCGCGGCGUAUUAGCUAGUUGGUGAGGUAAUGGCUCACCAAGGCGAUGAUACGUAGCCGAACUGAGAGGUUGAUCGGCCACAUUGGGACUGAGACACGGCCCAAACUCCUACGGGAGGCAGCAGUAGGGAAUCUUCCACAAUGGACGCAAGUCUGAUGGAGCAACGCCGCGUGAGUGAAGAAGGCUUUCGGGUCGUAAAACUCUGUUGUUGGAGAAGAAUGGUCGGCAGAGUAACUGUUGYCGGCGUGACGGUAUCCAACCAGAAAGCCACGGCUAACUACGUGCCAGCAGCCGCGGUAAUACGUAGGUGGCAAGCGUUAUCCGGAUUUAUUGGGCGUAAAGCGAGCGCAGGCGGUUUUUUAAGUCUGAUGUGAAAGCCCUCGGCUUAACCGAGGAAGCGCAUCGGAAACUGGGAAACUUGAGUGCAGAAGAGGACAGUGGAACUCCAUGUGUAGCGGUGAAAUGCGUAGAUAUAUGGAAGAACACCAGUGGCGAAGGCGGCUGUCUGGUCUGUAACUGACGCUGAGGCUCGAAAGCAUGGGUAGCGAACAGGAUUAGAUACCCUGGUAGUCCAUGCCGUAAACGAUGAAUGCUAGGUGUUGGAGGGUUUCCGCCCUUCAGUGCCGCAGCUAACGCAUUAAGCAUUCCGCCUGGGGAGUACGACCGCAAGGUUGAAACUCAAAGGAAUUGACGGGGGCCCGCACAAGCGGUGGAGCAUGUGGUUUAAUUCGAAGCAACGCGAAGAACCUUACCAGGUCUUGACAUCUUUUGAUCACCUGAGAGAUCAGGUUUCCCCUUCGGGGGCAAAAUGACAGGUGGUGCAUGGUUGUCGUCAGCUCGUGUCGUGAGAUGUUGGGUUAAGUCCCGCAACGAGCGCAACCCUUAUGACUAGUUGC
This 1040-nucleotide ribosomal RNA is filed under the name Lacticaseibacillus paracasei. RNAcentral describes it as "bacterial SSU rRNA". It matches the Rfam family "Bacterial small subunit ribosomal RNA", at positions 93 to 1118 of the family's 1533-position model. The record is from RNAcentral. Lineage: Bacteria; Bacillati; Bacillota; Bacilli; Lactobacillales; Lactobacillaceae.